UUAUUACUAUAUAUUAGCCAAAUUACAUCCCUAGAGACAUUUCACUUGGUCCAUAACUUGAGUUUUGCUCAAAUUACAUAUUAAUUUCAAAAUUUUCUAUUUAUCAAAUUUAUCAUUUCUUCAAACUUUAAUCAUACUAUAUAACUAAAAUAUUAUACACUUGAUCUAGUUCUACUAAAGUAAUAAAAUUUUCAAAUAAAACCUAAUUAACAAAUUAUUGAAUUUAUUCAAAUAAAGUUGAGCACAAACCUUAAACCUUCCAAAUCUUCCACAAGCUUAAAAUUUUCUAAUUUUCCUUUUAUUUCCCUUUAAAGUUUCCACUCUUCCCUUCCACUUCUUCUUCAUGAAAAAUAAACAAAUAAAUCAUAUUAAUACAAUAUUCUUCAUAAAUAUUCACAUAAAAAUGAUAAGAAACAUUCAUAGAUCAAAACCCCUAACAUACCUUUAUAUUUUCCAACACUUGUUACUGUUUACUCUCUCUCAACCUUGAAUUUUCUCUUUGAUUUCUCUUCUUUUCUUUAAAUUCUACUUUGGAAAGGUGUUGGGAGAAAAUGGGUAAUUGAUUGGAGGUGGAAAUUUGAAGAAAUUUGGUGUAGAAUAGAAAAGAUAAGAAAUGGGGUUUCAUUGUUGUUCACGGGAAGAGAAGAAAAUGGGAAAGAUGAAAUCCCUCUUCUCUUCUAGUCUUUUCUUCUUUCAUUCUUUUCUUUUCUUUUUUCUUUUUUUUUAUUUGGUUAAGUGGCUAGCAAAUUGGCACUUGUCCUUAAAUUAAAAUUUAAUUUUUUUUUUCUCUUUUUUCUG
This 798-nucleotide long non-coding RNA is filed under the name Manihot esculenta (cassava). RNAcentral's name for it is "long non-coding RNA (MESC_LNC005263)". The record is from RNAcentral. Lineage: Eukaryota; Viridiplantae; Streptophyta; Magnoliopsida; Malpighiales; Euphorbiaceae.